UUUUUUAUUGUUUCUCACAAGAACAUUGGUUGUGUUCUGCACUGUUCAUUUACCAUAUUUUUCGGACUAUAAGUUGCAUCAGUCCAAAAAAAAACAUGUCGCAUUUAUUCAGAACCAAGAACCGGAGAGAAAACAUUACCAUCUAACAUUACCAGCCGCGAGAGGGCGCUCUAUGCUGCUCAGUGCUCCUGUAGCAUACCACUGAAAACAACUGCAAACUGUUAACUGAAAUAUUAAUUUAAUUUAUUUAACAAAAUCCAAGACCAAGAACAGACAUUGGUAAUCUGGAAAGGCAAGUUAUUCAGCUAACGGUACACAAUAGUACACAGGCAUGCCCGGUAUGUUAACAUAACACAUUACCAGUUAGCUACACAAUAGCAUAAAGAACAUACCCGGGAGGCUGAAUAGGCUAAAAUUAACAUAAGCCAGCGAGUCCAACAGUUACUGGUAACGUUAAGCAAGUUCACUAAGCUCCCGCGAUCUUAUUCCACUUCAUUGAAUCACUGGAUUUUCAGUGGUAGGCUACAGGAGCACUGAGCAUCAUAUAGCGCCCUCUAAGGCAAAAAAACACCUGUAAGGCAAAAUUUUCACAAUAUAGCUAAUGUUUUUAAACUAUAUAUCAUUUACACAUUUCAUUUGUCUGACCUUAUCUUUAAUUGCAAUCGCUGGAAAAGAUUAUAAAAAAAAGUUAAAUGUUUCAAUGUCUUUAUGAAUAGAAUUUAGGAAUGCAUUUUCCCCAGUUUAAUAGAAAUCCCAAAGAUGUGUAGCAUUAUUUUUUAUUCUCAUGUCCCAGGCAUAAAAAAAUGGUUGCAAUAAUGAGAAAACAAGAAAGAAAAAAAAAAUUCAUGGCCUCUUUGGGCUUCUGUUUGUUGAUUUGGUUUGUAAAAAAAAAAAAAAAAGGACUCCUGUCCAUGGGCCUCAUUUAUAACCGUUGUGUACGCACAUAACCAGCCCUGGAAGAAGCGUACACCACUUCCUGCACAAAAGGUGGAAUUUAUAAAAACAAUCUUGAUGGGAAAAUCUGCACACAAAUUAUGACCCAUGUGUACAAACCAAGGUGUUGUAUGCUCCAUAUAUGGUGAUUUUGGGGAGGAGGCGGGGUGGAGAACCUGACUUUGAUUUAUAAAGGAAUUUUUGCGCAGGUUCUGGUGUAUGCAAGGUAUUUUAAAUCUGAAAACUUUUAUGUGUUUGCAAAGUUAGCUUUUGAGCAUACGUACAUGUGGCGAGUGGGGCGGCUUUCGGCCCCGCCCCACUCGCCACAGUACACUUAUAGGAUGAAAUCUACAGAGUUUUAUACCUGAGGUCCCAGGUUUGAAAAAGACCAAUACUUGGGAAACCCUUUUUAUUCCACAGAAACCUAUAAUUGGGUACAUGGGCCUGGUUUGAAUGUUGUGUUUGCAAAAAGCACUUGAAAAUUUCUACAUAUCAGUGCACCUUCUAAAGGCACAAAGCUAAUUCAAUCUCAUUAUGAGUUUGAAAGAAGUGUUUGCAAACAGCAAUUGAAAAUUUCUACAUAUUAGUGCACCUUCUAAAUGCGCAAAGCUAAUACAAUCUCAUUAUGAGUUUGACUGUUGUGUUUGCAAACAGCAAUUGAAAAUUUCUACAUAGUGCACCUUCUAAAUGCACAAAGCUAAUUCAGUCUCAUUAUGAGCAACAAAGCUAAGUGCCUUGUGUGUUGAUGCAACACUUGCAUAGUUGUUAGACAUCUUAUUCUUAUAAUCGGUAUGAUUUGUUAUAAUAUAAUUUUUUAUUAUACUGUUUGCAAAUACAACAUGUGCUUUUCACAUUUCUGAAUCUCAAUAUUGUAUAUUUAAUCCAGAGACACUGAUGUUACUUUGGAGGUUAAAAAGUAAAAAAAAAUAUUAAGACUAAGAUUCCGACGCAUGAGUAUAUAGCCCCUUUCACACUGCCAUUCCGGCAAAUACAGGGGUAAAGUGUUCCUGUAAUUGUUCCCUGGUCGCUAGAUUUGGCACUUUCACACUGCCAGUGAUGACCCGGUAUAUGUGCGUGCUUUCACACACAACCCUUGAAGAUCCCGUAACGACACGUGACAUCAGCGCGUGACGUGUAAUGUACGAGUCGACAACGCUUGGCACGUUAUACUUUAACUGAAGCAAGCAAACGAUCUCGGCGUCAGCGCGGAAAGUGAGGAACUAACUGAUCUCUGCUUCAUUACAGUUUGCACAUAUGUUUUCGUUGCGAAUGUUGAUCUUCCUUCAAAACAGCCGGUAAAAAAGUCGCGCGAUAACGCGUGUCAUCACUUCGAUACGGAAUUAGAUCUGGCUUUUGUUCACACAGCGCUCGUUCCGGAUCGAUUACCGCAAUGUUACUAUGCAAUGUUUAUUUUGAUCCAAAAUCCUUUGUGAAACUGCAGCAUGUACUAGUACGGACGCCACUUCUGAAGGGAAGGACUAGUAAUCACUGUGCGUAUCAAAUAUUUCUUCUUACACUGCAUUUCAGGACAAUCUACUGUAUGAGCUAUAUUAAGGCUGCUUUUACACAGUCGGCUCAGUGUUAAAAUGUGUGUGAGGUGACUAAUGGUGGGGCUGCAUCUGUUGGGGACAUGCUUGAAAUCUGCCAAAACACUUUCUCUGUGGGGUGUCUGGAUAUCUCUCCUGUAUGCUCCUGUAUCCUGUAGAGUUGUCACUUUGAAUUCUGCACUUGUAAGUCUUUACAGGAUGUGAAACACUCUGUUGUGUAUGAAAUAUUGCAGUGUAAUUUUAUAUGUUCAUGAAUUUGUGAUUUACACUAGCAUGAUAAAGUUCAGGAAAAUUCCUUAAGUUUUUAUUAACCUGAAAAUCUGUGGUGUAGCAAGACUCCUCAAUGCCCCCCAAAACCCCUCAUUCCAACAGGCCCACACAUGUCUACUUCACUAUGUGGAUAUAUUUGCGUAAUGCCGCCCAAAUGUUCACACAAAGAAAGAAGGCAUGGUUUCAGUAACCGCAGUUAGUGUUGAAGCAGCCAUGUCUAGGAGAUGCUGUGUGUAUCUAGGUGAAAGCAAAAUCACUUUAUUUGGCCUUCCGAAAGUAGAUGCAUUUAGGAAUCUUUAAGAUAACUUACAACAGAACUCAAAUGCAGAGUUUUGCGCGUUGUGUGUGUGUGUGUGAGAGAGAGAGAGAGACAGUCAAACAGUGGAGACUGCUGUCUUAACCGUCUGUGGUUUGUGUACUGCAAACACAUCAACUGUCUGUUGCUCUGUUCCCCUUUCAGGCUUGAAUUGAUGAAACUAAGGUCAUUUAAAACUAAUAAAACUAAGGUCAUUUAUUUUGAAAGUUGAAGCUUUUUCCAUGAUUAUGGAAAAGGGCGUUACAUUUCAGAUGAGUGCUUGUGGUGAUUGGCCAGUCACAAUGCACUGGGUCAGUUGGCCAAUCAGAGCAGACUGCUCUUGUCGGAAAGAGGGACUUUGUAGAAAACAAUGCGUUUAAGAGAGGCGGGGCAUAGAGGACCUACAGUAAUGUACAGUAUUUUAAAUAUAAUGUGUUUUUUUAACAUUGAAGCAUGUCAACAUAUUCUGUUAAACCAAAUACACAAAAUAAUGAUCUUUAAAAAAGCAUCAUAUGACCCCUUUAACCUUACGCAAAAUAACAUGAUUUAUCAUUGUAAUUUUGACUUUAUUCUUAUAUUAUGAUGUUAAUUUAUUCAACGUGGCACUAAAAUGCUGCCAUAUAGGCUAUUUGUACAGUCAUGGCCAGAAAUAUCAGCAUCAUUGGUAAAUAUGAUUAAAGAAGGCUGUGUAAAGUAUUCCGCACUGUUAAUCCUUUUGAUUUUUUUAUUAAAAAAAUUCUCAAAAAUCUAACCUUUCAUUGGAUAAUAAGAAUUUAAAAUGGGGGGAAAUAUUAUUAUGAAAUAAAUGUUUUAAAUAUAUUUUUUCAUUUUAUCCGGUUCACGAACGAAUCACUCAGUGUAACUAGAUCUUCUUCUUCAACCAGUUCACCAAAUCGAACUGAAUCGUUUGAAACGUUUAUUAUUAUCUCCAAUAAUCAACAAAUGACUUAACCGGUUAACUUUUUUAAUGUGGCUGACACUCCCUCUGAGCAGGGCCGUGCAGAGUCCUUUGGAGGGGCAGCUGCUCAAAGUAUAAAAGGGGCACAUGGAACAAGGCUUUAAAUGGCGCUGUUCAAAAUAUCAAUACAGCAAUAUAUUGUGAAGCAUUCCUUGCUGAUUCGCGUAUCAAAAUUGAGUUUAAGUUCAUUGUUGUGAGUUGGUUUUGCUCAAGACAGACGACAGAAAGUGCAUUAGAAAGCAUUUGUUUUCCUUCUUUUUACAAAUUCACAAGGUUUUGUUGAUAUUGUGAAUGCAAACACAUAAAAAAAAGGAUUUACACUUGCUGUUGUAAACAGCCCCCUGUGGCAGUGUAAAUACGCAGAGUUACCCUUAUUAACACUGUUGAGUGUUAAUAGUCACAUCCGGGACAUUUACUGGUGUGCAUCUGAAACAGCCUUUUUUUUUUUGCUUGUGAUGCGGCAAAUAUGAGGAUGGAAAACGGCGAAAGAAAGUGUAUAAUCUUACUCAUAAAAUGUGUUUUUUAAUAUCAUAUCGUUUUAUAAUGAUAUUUUUUUUGCUGUGUGCGCAUAAACUUUUCUCAAUUUCAUUUUCUUUCACUCGCGAUGCGGAACAGACGAGGACGUCUAUUAUUUUCUGUAAGGGCAUUCUGAAAGUAAGUUAAGUGAUUUUAUCUCAUUUAAAAUAUGUGUUUAAUGACAUUAUAUUGAUUUAUAGCGAUAUUUAUGUGCUGUUCUCUCCACAACUUUUUCUCAAGAAGGAUAUUUUCUUCCUCUCAUGAUGGGGAGAAGAACCAUAAAUUUAAACUGCAGUGCAGCACAGACACGGGUUAAUGUUAACUAACUUAGAGAGGGGAGAGACCAGAGAGAGAUAACGUUAGAUUCUUUUACUCGAAGCGGAACAGAUGGGGAAGUUGGUUUUAACAAGGAAAACACAGAAAUUGAGUUGGAUUGAAUUGCUUUGCUAAUAGAGUGUCAUGAACGCACACUCAUGCACAGAGAUCAACAGUCAGGAGCACUUUUGUGAUGCUGCAAGUAGGAGUGGAUUUCUUGCUUAGCUGGAAACUGCAGAGAACAAUGUCUUGUCGUCCCUGGAAAAAAGAAAGAGACUACUUUCUCCAAGAAGGUCCAAACGCCAUUGGCACAGACUUUUUUCAGUGAUCAGUAACAUACAUUCUGCCAGGGCCGUCCUUAUGGGGGUGUAAUUGGUGCAGUCUCACCGGACUCCACACUUGAGGGGUAAAUGGACUGAAUGAUCCCCCCACCUGGGAACACUCCCUACUUUGCACCAAGCCACACAUCAGAUAAGUACGGCCCGGCAUUCAUGGUUGAUGGUAAUGAAUGAGAUGCUGUGUUUUAAGCAGAUAAAUCUAAGCACUAUCCACCUUUUUCCUCAACGCGGAAGUAAGCCUAUGGGUGAGACUUCGGUUUCAUUAGCCGCUAUAACGAGGUGAAUAACAACGUGCAGUAAAUGGUAAAACUGUUUGCAGUACAAACAAGUGUGUUCUUAAUAUAGAUAACAUAACAAAUGAGCCCAGAAGCUAAACCCAUAGAAUUUACAAAUGGCGACACCCAUUUUUACGUCAGGAAAAAGGUGGAUAAACUUAUUGAAAUUCAGAAUACAUAUGGACCAAAUAAGAAUAUGUAUUUUGUGCCUUUACACUGAUUUGCUUUAACAUUGUUUUAAUUUUUGUAAGAACAUGUUGUUUACAUGUAUUGAAAACACUGAAUGUGAAGACAUUUUGGUGCAGGGAUAAAGUUACAAUGUUUCAGUUUAAAUAAAUAAAUGUAAACAUGUAUUGAUUUAUGGAUUAAUUUAUUUAUUGUCAUAUAUACAUUCCAGGAGUGUUGAAUUUGACUUGAAUUGAGUUAAUUGUUCACUGGCUUUUUUGCUGUGCAGGAGAGUUUUUGUAAUGCUAACUACACUGGAGUUAAAAAUAUCAAGAGUUAAAAUCUAUCUUAAAGGUGUUAAAUUGUAACUUUUUACUCUGGUGUUAAGAUAUAUUAACACUCUGUGGUGUGGACCAGAAUUGUUUUUUAACUCCAUACCGUGUACAUAUAACUCAUUCAUAGUGUUAAACAUGUAACUCUUUGAAGAGUGUUAAUGUAACUGUGAAAAGAUUGAGACAAUAUGCACACUUUUUCAAAGUUGAUUUUAACUCUGGUAGAGUUGAAUUAACACUUGCAAUUUUGCUGUGUAUGCCCAACUCACUGUCUGCCACUGGCCGCUUGGUUGUUCCUUUAAAAAAACAAAACCUUGAAUUUAACAAACAUUGAAUGUUCCAAACCUAUCUCUAAAUCAAUUUAAAGAAACGAAAAUAAAUAUUGGCACUUUGCCAUUAAAAAUCAAAACCGAACUAUUUUAAUGACUGCAACAGCAGCUGUGAAAUUGGGAAGAGAGAGAAAAAUAGACAGUGACUCCAGUUUGAUUAUGGCUGAGAAUUCUGAUAUACUGUCGGACAAGGGAAAUUGCAGGGAAAUUCAUUCCCUCGUUUCAAUUAAAAGUCCACCCCAAAACCCCCCACCCCCCUGCUCGGCGGGACCCAAUUCUGCACCCAGACCUUACGCCACUGCUGAAAAGUCUUCUCCGUUCCAGCAAUGCCAUUAAUCAGACAAUAGUGACCGCCGUGAAAAAUGUUUGCACUGAUAUGAGUUACCUUUUCGAGAUCCAUGUAGAUCAAUGGAAAGUAAUUAUAACCUUUUUUGCUUGCCAAUUUGGUAUUUAACAUAGUAUUAAAAUUAGAUCUGGAUAUCAACGCAUGCAACAUGCCUAGAUGUCUUUUUCGCUGUUAUCUGGUGCUUAUUGAGCUAUAAUUAAAGAUGUCUCGUCACGGGCCACUGAAUAUUGUUAUCUUUAUUACACAUCAACAAAACCUACCAUUCGUUUUUAGAUAAUGACCCUUUACUUGUGGUUUAGUUCUGCGCAGAAUCCAUAAAUGCGGGCACGGAUUUCCAGAACGCGUGUCUUUCUCCAGCGCUUUAUACAGCGCUUAAACCGAUUUGAUGGUCGCGAAGUAAAGGCAUUUACUCUAAGUGUAAUCAGGGAGAUGCUUGGUGCAGCAGCGAGAGAGAAAGCGGCGUGGUUUGAUGCAGCGCGCUCUCUUGUAUGCGCUCUCGGGAUCAUUUGGAGACAUGUGCGUAUCUCUCUCUCCCUCUUUGUAAACUUCACUGGCAUGGCCAACAUGGAGAACAAAUACUAACACGUGGAUCGCUUUUGUUUACUCUCGGUCUUUAAGUAGUAGCUGUGAGCUCCGCCUUAAUGAACGAAUUUAUCGUGAUUCUCGUAAAAGAAGAGAGUUGCGCAAUGCUAUGCUGAGAGCCGCGAGGUCUCUGUCCGAUAUGAGAGAAUGGAUUGCAUUUGUAUUGUUACGACCAAGGUAAGCGCACAGAUUAACGGUGAUUUACUGCGACCAUCUGAAUGAAAGCAUUUACCGCAUGUUGUUGUUAUUAAUUCUGUUUAUUGCUGUGUACACAAUAUAAUAGCCAUACUUUGCUAAUACAUAGUUAUGGCAGUUUUAUGAUCUUAACUGUUCCUGUAGGACCCCCUUAAAAUGCAUAAAA
Long non-coding RNA from Carassius gibelio (silver crucian carp), 7562 nucleotides. RefSeq lists it as uncharacterized. NCBI's taxonomy places the organism in Eukaryota, Metazoa, Chordata, Actinopteri, Cypriniformes, Cyprinidae. The record is from RefSeq and is a predicted model, not a curated record. The transcript has 5 exons.